RNAcentral lists this ribosomal RNA (459 nucleotides) under uncultured bacterium. Its description in RNAcentral is "bacterial SSU rRNA". It matches the Rfam family "Bacterial small subunit ribosomal RNA", at positions 29 to 506 of the family's 1533-position model. The record is from RNAcentral.
AUGAACGCUGGCGGCGUGCCUAAUACAUGCAAGUCGAACGGAAAAUGUAGCAAUAUAUUUUCAGUGGCGAACGGGUGAGUAACGCGUUGGUGACCUGCCCCGAAGAGGGGGAUAACAGUCCGAAAGGAUUGCUAAUACCCCAUAUGGUCAUUAGGAUUAGAUGCCUUUUGACUAAAGGAGAAAUUCACUUUGGGAGGGGCCUGCGUCCCAUCAGCUAGUUGGUAGGGUAAUGGCCUACCAAGGCUAUGACGGGUAGGGGACCUGAGAGGGUGACCCCCCACAAUGGAACUGAAACACGGUCCAUACACCUACGGGUGGCAGCAGUAGGGAAUAUUGGUUAAUGUGCGAAAGCGCGAACCAGCAACGCCGCGUGUGCGAUGAAGGCCUUCGGGUUGUAAAGCACUUUUUGAAGGGAAGAGGAAGGACGGUACCUUCAGAAUAAGCCUCGGCUAACUACGU